Molecule: non-coding RNA, 1244 nt
Organism: Cinara cedri
Lineage: Eukaryota; Metazoa; Arthropoda; Insecta; Hemiptera; Aphididae
Source: the annotation of a GenBank genome assembly
UUUACAUUAAUUUAUUUUCGUUCCUUUUAAUUUUAACAGAUUAAUUACACAAUCUAUAUAAUAUUUGAAUAGGUUAACCAUAUAGACAAUACAUUUAGCCAGCAAUGUGUAUUAUGUAGUUACGUCAUCCAUAUUUAAAAUACCUAAGGAUAAUUUGAUAUUCCCAAAAUAAACUCAAUUAAUCUAACAUUGGUCAUUAUUAUAUCCAAAAAAAAUCCAAACUUUAGGUUUAAAAAUGUUCACUGCCAACAAUAACAAUAUUAUAUAAAAAAUUGAAUUGGAUUUUGACUUAACUUGCCCAGCCUUGGACGUAGUUAACAUACAAUAUUAUUGUUAGUAGUUGUAACAAUGAUAUUACUUGUAUAGGUAUUAGAGUAUUACUGUACAAGUGAGGCUAAAUAGUUUAGAUAAAAUCUAGAUGAUUUAAUGCAUUUAAAAGGGCGUCAUACCCACAUGUGCUAUCUCCGUCCAAUUAAUAACAACGAGCAAUAUAGCAAAAUAUAACAUACACAGACUACAAAGAACUUGUUUAAUUUUGCUUUUAAAGUAAAAUCAUCCAUAAUAAAAUUAAAAGAUGACAAUAAUCCAGAGGGCAAGAUAAUGCGUUUUUCUUAUUGUUAUAACUAUUAUUCUGAAUACAACGUUUAAUACAUCGUUAAGAAAUAAAGCCUAAUUCAUGAUUUCUAAACAACUGUGAAAUUUCGAAAAAUGAAUUUAAAAAAAGAAACGUCCUGCCUUGAUAUCCAGAAUAUUGUCGUCUUUUUAUUUUAUGAUAGGUGAUUUUACUCAAUAUUGCUCGUUAGACGCAGCAGUACAUCAUGCGGAUAUAAUGUCCUCCUAACAAUGCAUACUACAAGUGUAAUAUUCUAAUUUAACAUUCAUAAAUUCAAUGUAUACAAUAUUAAUAUUAUACCUGAUUUAAAAAUGUAUGGUAUAGUGAUUUUGUUGGUUUGUUCAUAACAUGCCUAUUCACAAUGCGCUACACUGCCCAUAUUCUGUUACAUAAGAUAGGAAUAUUCAUAUUGUUAUUAUAUUAUUAUAUUUCAUUUUAUACAAUAGUAGCUAUAAUACACGUUUAAAAAUUAUACAUGUAUAAAUAUAAUAUGAAAUAUUAUGACAUUAAUUUAAUAUAUUAUACUAAAUUAAUAUUAUAAUACGGGUAGAUAGCUAUGAUUUUAUUGUUAUUUGAAAUAUACUAAAAACAAAUAAAUAUUGAAUUAUAUUACCAUAUACUAUAAUAAACC